AUGGUUCAAAAAGGAAAAAGAGCAACAACCUCUAGAGGAAAACAAACAUCAGAACAACCUGCAAAUGAAGAAUCAUCCACAUCGACGUCACACAUAGAAAAUCCGGUCUUUGCCCAUAACCGAACUAUAUUUCAACCCUUAAACCUUGGAGGUCCCCAUCAUUCUUGCAAACACUGUGGUGCUCUGUUUUGGUAUGAAGAGCGUCUACGCAGAGAAAGACACACUCCAGAUCCAACAUAUAAUUUGUGUUGCAAGGGAGGAAAAGUUUACCUGCAGCCAUAUGAUCCUCCUGCUCAACCUCUUGGAUUUACUCACAUCCCAGGACAGAACGCUCUCCAGUCACUUCUUUAA
RNAcentral lists this ribosomal RNA (351 nucleotides) under Triticum aestivum (bread wheat). RNAcentral describes it as "partial small subunit ribosomal RNA". The record is from RNAcentral. Lineage: Eukaryota; Viridiplantae; Streptophyta; Magnoliopsida; Poales; Poaceae.